RNAcentral lists this ribosomal RNA (329 nucleotides) under uncultured bacterium. RNAcentral's name for it is "bacterial SSU rRNA". It matches the Rfam family "Bacterial small subunit ribosomal RNA", at positions 568 to 898 of the family's 1533-position model. The record is from RNAcentral.
UGCGUAGGCGGUUCUUUGUGUCCGCUGUGAAAGCCCCGGGCUUAACCUGGGAAUGGCAGUGGAAACUAGAGGACUUGAAUCCGGCAGAGGGGGUGGAAUGCCACGUGUAGCAGUGAAAUGCGUAGAGAUGUGGCGGAACACCGAUGGCGAAGGCAGCCCCCUGGGCUAAGAUUGACGCUCAGGCACGAAAGCGUGGGGAGCAAACAGGAUUAGAUACCCUGGUAGUCCACGCCCUAAACGAUGUCAACUAGGUGUUGGGGAAGCGAUUUCCUAGUACCGCAGCUAACGCGUGAAGUUGACCGCCUGGGGAGUACGGUCGCAAGAUUAAA